UUUUUUUUUUUUUUUUUUUGUUGUGAAUACUUUGUUUUCUAAGAGCAUGAGAGUCGUUGUAUGAGUCAAAGUAAUAUAUUUUUAGGUGAUGUCUGGUAUGUAGAUUGGAUUAUUGUGUUGAAUUUAAUUAGAUACGAGGGAAUAAUCUUUUGUUUUGCACUGUCUUCCUAUGUAUUGUUUUUGUAUAUGACUAAACUUGAUUAAUUGAAUUAACCUAGAAAAAAAAAAUCAAUUGCACCACCAUUAAUUUAAUAAUAAUUGCUUAUUUAAAAUUAUCUUAUGUAUUAUUGUAAAUUAAUAAAUAAAACUUAUAUUUAUAUUUGAUGCAUGACCUGUUAGUUACAAUUUUAUCAAAAGAGAUGACAUUUCAUUACGUUAAAUGGAAUGUGUAUGACAUGUACCUUAUAUAUUCAUGAUAUUAAUGACAUGUCAUAGAUUGUUCACUCCGGGGUAAAAUUUUUAUCAGUCGUCAAUUGUGAAUUCAUCCUAGAAAUGACAUUUUGAAAAUUUACAGAAAUUGUGUGAUAUAUAUUUGUAUGGUGUUAGCUCCUAGGAGACUUUGUUAUAAAACUUUGAAAUAAUUUUUUUAUUUUAUUUUAUAUUUCGUGUAGAUGAUAUGUCAGACAUCCUUAAAUGAUCUGUUUGUUAUGUCGUUUAUACUUGCAGCACAUAGAGGACAUGUCAUGCUGGUAAUUGACUAAUUUUUUAAAUAAAAUUAAUUUGUUCAAUUAAGAAAUAACUUAAUAUCUAAAAUUUAAUUCAAAUUAAUAAUAUCAUAUGAAUAACAUGCAGUCAAUGCGACUAAUAGGUAGCAUUUGUUUUUUUUUUCCUUGAAAAUCUAAAUAAGUCUAAAUUUGACUGAAGUUUGAAUGUUUAAAUAUAAAUGUUUGAAUAACAUAUUUUUUUAAAUAUAUAAAUAUAAGUGGUAUCUUAUUUGUUUUUAACAUAAAACAUAUCUUAUAAUUGCUAUUUGAUAUUUAUGUCCUUAUAAAUCAAGACAAAUAAAGGUAUUAGAUCUUAUAUAGUUUUAGAAAAUAAGAAUAUUUAAUAGAGAUAUUUUUUGAAUUUAAUAUUUACUCCCCAUUUAGAACUUUUUCUAUUCGGAUAAAAGUCAUAAAAAAUUAUUUUUUCUAUUUAAAUGUAAAUGUUUGAAAUCUAGAUAUAAGUUACAAAAAUACAAACAAGCGGGAUUUAAAAAAAAAACUGAAAUCAAUAAAAUUUCAGACUUUAACAAUGUUCGUUUGAAGCAUGCAUAAAUAACCAUAAAUCCAACAUAAUUGAUUAUACAAUGACAUUUAGCUUUUAUGCACGUCUUUCUGAUUUCUCUAAAAAUUUCCUUGAUUUUAGCUUAGCAAACAAAAAUCCAGAGUUAAGUGUAAAUUAAUUAACUUACAUUCGUAAGUGUAGGUGUGAACUUACACAUAUAUUGAUAGCAUUCAACAAUUGUAUAGAAAGUAAUAACUUUAUUGGUAGACUAUUUUAUGCAAUAUUUGCUUCAUAAAUUCGUUUUGGAUUUUCCUGAGUCUGCUUGAAUGAUGAUGUUAUGUCUUUCACCAAACCAACCCGGAAUGGUGGCUGGAUGAGGAGAACGUAAUGAUCUGAUUGAGGUUUACUUGCAAAACAACGCGGGAAGACAUUAAUUAAGGUCAAGUCCUGGUAGCUCUGGUGCGGAUAUCAAAGGUCUUGCUCACAUUAUACUUGAAUCGGCAUCAGCAUACAGUAAUGAUGCGUAUGAUCAAAUAAAGAAAAAGAUUCUUAAUGCGACCACAAGUAAAGUUUUCAAAAGUUUUCUUAAUGUUUGCUUUUAAGUAUACUAUGAGCAGAAGAUCUUUGAUGCUUUGGAGUUACUGCUCUUUCUCCAUUGAAUGUUUAUCACAGUGGUAGGCGUAUUAUUAUAAUUAAAUGAAGCAUACAUGUGGCUAAGAGCGGAGAUAACAUAUUGAUUGACUGGGGGUUUAUUUAACGGUAAUAUAAAAAACUUUAAAAAUAAUAAAAAUAUAAAUUUAAAAGAUUUAUAAUACUUCAAAAUAUAUUUACAAUUAUUCUUUACAAGUUUUCAUAUAUUGAUAUAUUGCAUUAUAACUUCAUUAUCAAUAUUAUUAAAAAAAAAAUUCAAUGUAAACAACCAAAAUAAAAGAUCUUUAAGUAUUUUUUAUGGGUCUUAGACUAGUGGUGGAAUUAGAAAAGGUAAGAUUAAUAAAAAAAAUUAUUAAUGAGUUUGUGGGCCGUUUAAAAAUUAAAUUAAUAUUAAUAUUUAUGGGCUUGAUUUUAGUUUGCAAAGCUCAUCUCUUUUUAUUUGAAUUUAAAAAUGAGUUAGACUAUUGGCAUUCCUCUAUAAUUCUUUUAAAAUCCCUUUUUUAAUUAUACUAAACCGAAUGCCAAAAUUACCCUUAUUUCUAAAUAAACACAUUAAUUUGUGAAUCUUUUAAUUUUCUUUUUUUUAUACUUCGCUCCUCACAAUAUUUUUAUCGGUGAUAAAAUCAAUGAAUCAAAUAAAUUAUCUCUAAGAUUAUGAUGUAAAAAGUUUUAGUAUAAGCCUAAAAAAAAGUCAGAUAAUUUUAUCAUAAUGUGUUUUAUUUAUUAUUAAUAGAUUAUCUUAUUAAUUGAAGAAAAAUUUAUAGAGAAUUUGAGGAAAAAAAAUUACAUGUGUGAGUGUGAUAGAAGAGAAAAUACAAGAUUUUUUUUUUUAAAUAGAGAGUUUGAAUUGAGAUAAAAUAGAUGUGAGAUAUAUUAGAAUAUUUGUCCUAAAAUGUAAUUAUAAUAAAAGAAAGGUUUUAAAAGAAUUAUGGAGGGGUGCCAAUAGUCAAACUCUUUAAAAAUUUAGAGCGUGAGAAUUUAAAUAUAACUAUGUAUUGCGGGCUUGACUAUAAAUUUGUGGGGAUUUGAGAAAAUUUUAUUGAGAAUUUUACACAAACUAAAUUAAGUCCCCACUAGUCCUAUAGUAAAUCCGCCCCCGGAUGUGGCAAGCCCUGAAUGAGAAAGAAGCAGUGCUCCAAGAGCACCCAACAUAACUAAACACGCAUUUUAACUAUUCCAAUUUAUUUACUCCUGUUAGUGUUAAUAUAAUUUCUCAGCAGUGAGGACAUAUACGAAUAGUGACAGAGCCGCCCGGUGUUAAGACGAGCAUUUUUAAAGCAAAAUGCAGGCAAGGCCUUUGACGUCUGCGCAAGGGCUACGGGGAGAUGGCUCGUAAAUGUGCUUUACAUAUAGAUAUAGAUUUUUGGUGUGAUCACAAAUAAUUUCCAACAAUUUCUUUUAAUUGGGCAUUGGUGUGAUAAAAAAAUAUAAUACUAUAAAAAGAAUCAAUAACGUCAAACAUCUCAAAAUUUUAUGACGAGGGAAAUUUUAAAUUUACUAAAUUGAAAUUAUAUAGUAUUUAAAUGGCAAAAAAAAUCUCAUCGAGUGGGACUUAUAGGUUAUAGCUAAGCUAAAUGAGGAAACAAAAUACAAAAAGAAUCGAUUAAGUUAAAGUCGUAUGAUAUUUCUUUCGACUGCCAAAUUUCUUUCUUGCAAUUUGCAAAGUCAACAACCAAUCAUGCUGCAUCGGGCUACUGAAGGCCCAAAAUUUUUGGCCUCAUGCCUUUUCUUUUUUUUCACGUUGAUAUUAUAAUUAGAUUAUAUCUCAUAUUAUAUAAAACUACUAUUAAUAUUUAUAAAUUAAAUUAUUAUUGAGACUGAUUUACAUUAAAUCUUAUGAAAUAUUAUCUAAAUUUUUUACUCUUUCUAAUAUUUAAAGAAUGUCUACUCCACUUAUAUUUAAUAAAGGAGAAGAUCAUGUUUACUCAAUUAUUUAAUAAUUAAGAAAAGAUUAAAAUUCCCUAUAAUACUAUUAUGGAGAUCGAAUAGCUGCUCUCAUAGUGAUCUAACAUUAAACUCAGCCAAGUGUAGUAGAGCUCUUACACUUGUAAUAUUGAGAGUAAAUGUUCAAGCUUCUAUAAAAAUAUUAUAGAGGUUAGUUUCAGUCAUUUCUCAAUUAUCAAAAAUUGAAUAGAGACAGUUUCUCACUCACAAAACGUUAUGAGAAAGUUUCAAUUGUAUAAUUUAAUUAUAAAUAUCAAUUGUAAUAUUUGAAGUAAUAAUAGUAACGUCCUGUAUAAUAAUAUUAAAAGAAAAAAAGGUUAAACUCUGGCUCUAGGGUCCAGGCUAUUUUUUGGAAGGGGUAAUUUUGAAAUUUUAGCAACAAAGUGGCCGGAGAACAUUGUAAUUAGCAGAUAUUAUGAGGACUGAAUGUAAAUAGAGAAUUUGUAUCGGUUCUAUAUUAAUUCGUUUUGCAUCCCACAACGAGGGGACGAAAGAGAGAGGCGGGGAGAGAGAGAGAACGUGAGAACUUUCUACGUCGCAAGGGGAAAAAAAAUAAAAAUAAAAAUCAACAAAGAACAGCUAGCUGUUUCUAUUUUCGCCUCCACAAAACUCUCCAUGCAUUUCGCUUAACACACUUUGUUCUUCUUCUUCACUGUAAGAUUUCUCUUUAAUAUGACCUUUACUUUGACUGCUUAUUAUUUCAAUGCGGUUACAGGAAAAAUAUACAUAUGUUAAUCGUGGCGGGAACCAAUUUUUGGACACUAAUGUCGGUAACUUUGAUUUAAUUUGUUGAAUGCAAUUGAAGGAUCCUAUAGCGUUCAAUGUUCAUUUCUUUGUUGUACGUAUGUAGCAUUGCUGGUGGACUGACUCGUCAUUGAUUGCUUGUUCAUGUGACGAUUUCAAUUUCGUGGGUCCUGCGAUCCCCAAAAACAGAACACUGUUGGGUUUCUUUUAUUUUAUUUCGAAGUAUUCUGUUUGGUUAAUCUGAAAGAAAGAAGUGAAAUAGCUAAAGAGCUUUGAUUCUUCUUUUUUUUUUUAAUAUUUUUUGUAUUCUGAACCGACAGAAGUUCACUUCCUUCGCCGUCAGUAAGAAUCUAUUCGGAGCCGAUUAGAGUUCUGUUCUGAUCUGAUCUUUUUAAAAAUUUUAAAGAUUUAAUGUUAGUAUAUAAUUAAAAUUUAAUUAUUUUUAUUUUUUAAUUUAUUAACCUCCAUAAGAGUAUCUUGAUCCAGAGAAUUCAUAUGAAAAUUUACUUGUAGCUUUAAUUUAAAGUUAUUUUAUAUUACUCAUCUUGACAAAAUACGGUAAGCUUAUUAAUAAUGCCAUUUGCGUCAAAAAAAUAGCACAAAAUUUAGUAUAGAAAGAAACAAGAGGCAAUAAAUAAAUAAAUAGUCUAGUAGUGAAUUUUUUUUUUUAAAUUUAUAAUUAAUCUUUUUCCCCACUUUUAGUGAUGGUGUAUUGUUUUUUUUGUAUAUUACUUUUGUGUGAAUAAUGAUGUAUGUACUAAAAUUAAUAUUAAAUUUAGUAACAAAAGAAACAAAUGUAAGAUAAAUUUCUCUUAAUCCUAUAAUUAAGAUGUUUUAUUCUUUAAAUUACUUUUUUUAUUUAUAUCAUUAUUAUUUUUGUCCACAUAUUAAUCUUAUGAUCGGUAGAGAAUUUUGAAAUUGUCCAAACUACAGUGGUGAUAAGAAGUUUCAUACUAUCGCUUUUAUAUUACAAGGCAUUUAGCUUCACAUCAAAGAGAGAAUGAUGUAAAAUAGUUGUAGCUUGUCUUUAUUCAAGAAAAGUUCAUGUGUUUCCGAUUCCAUAAGUGAAUGGUUGGUAAUCAUAUAUCAUACUUGUUUUGUUUUUCCAUAGCAGACUUUUAUUUUUCCGUUUGUGGUGAUAAGUGCUCUAUUAAUAAUGGACUCAAGGUCGACUGAGGAUAAUAAUUCAAUAAAUAAACAGAUAAAUAAAUAAAUAAAUUCAGGUCUUGAGGUCAACUGUGCAAAAAUUUAAGUCUUAUCUAUUACUUAAUUACCUUGAAUUUUCUUCCUGAGAAGUGAUAUAACUCUUCCUUUUACACCAUUCCACCAGAAAUGGGUUUCCAGUUUUCCUUGCCAGCACUGCCUUUAAUUUCUCUUCUGUGUUUCCUAUCAGUACUAGUUGUUGACAAGAUUCAACCAUCUUGAACUCGUUCUUUGACUUGAGCCCAUUAGCUUUUUCCCAAAAAAAAAAUUAUUUUGUUUAUUUAUUUAUUUAUUUUUACAGAUCCAUGCUACUGUAGGUUGUGCGCUCUUGUAAUUUUGUUUAUGAGUACGUCUUUUGACACCCCUAAAAAUUCUUCAUGACACCUCUUUCAAUAUAAAUUAUCUAAAUAAUCGAAGAUAAUUUCUUAAUGAUAAUUUAAUUAUACAAUUUAAUAAACUAUUCAUAUUAACAAAUUUUUUACACUCGUUUCGUUUCAUAAUUUGUAUUUAUAUUUAUAUUUUUAAUUGAAAAACAUUUUUAUAUAAAAAAAAUUAUAAGAGUUUAGAGUUAUUGAGAUAGAAGCUAUAUAAUGAGAAAUAUUAAUUAAAGAUUUUGGGAAUUUACAUAUUUUAUAAGAUAAAAAUUAACAAGAAAUAAUUUUUUAAUUGUGAAAUUUUAUAAGAAGAUGUUGAAUUUUAAUAUAGUUUGUCUUUUAUAAAUUAAACUAGGAGUAUUUGAACUUUUAAGAAAUCAAAUGUAAAAGGGGUGUUAUAAGGAGUUUGGAGGGGUGUUAACAUGUCCACUCUUUGUUUAUAAAACUGAAUGAUAUGGGCCAGCGAACCACAGCCACAGGCUGUGAGAGACUCAGAGUGUGACGUGCACGUUCAAAUUAGCUCCAUGCAUAAGUCUGCGCAUCAAACAUUCUGCCGGACCUCCAGCUAUCUUAGCAUCCGAGAUCUAUGGCUUGAUGCCUCGCACUGAUCAUGAUUUACUCACCGUACUGUAUCAGGACCAAGCUAGUUAAUGGGGUAUAUAAUGUUGGAAAAUUAAGACGGAAAACAGCAGAAGUUUGGAUGGAAAAAUUGGACUGAAAAAAAAAAAAGAGUCAAAGCGUAUGAUAGCAUUGUCUUUAAGAAGGACUAACGAAGGCAGUUUGAUCCCCCCUCCGUGAGUUGUCAGUUAAUAAAUCCUCAGAACAGACUCCUCUCUUGGGCUUGACUUUGUGGGCGUGAGUCUUCUUUUUAUGGGCUUGUUACCAUACCAUAUUUGGUUUCUAUAUAUAAACCAACUUAUGUAAUUAAGGGAUUUAUUGGUAUUUUGAAAUAACCAACUCAAUCUCUAACGUAUAAUUUAUACUUUAAUUAUGUAUAACCAUUAAUGUAGUGAAUGAUAUGAAUGUAAAGUGGCAUAUUAUGUGAAAUACAAAUUUUGUAUAUCAACUUUAUAAAUUUCGCAUCACUCAUCCCUCUAAUGUCCUUCCUGAAUGAUUGCAUUAAAAAAAUAAUUAAUUAAUUUAUUUCAAUUAUUUUACAAGCUUUUUUUGUGUUGGGGGGGGGGGGGUGCUGGGCUUUUUAAGGAAAGAACAACAAAAGCACAGAAAUUGACUGAAAAAUUAGUGUAAAUGAGUUAAUGAAAGCUAUUGUGAAGGAAAGUAAUAAUUAGGGCAUUAGGCCCUUUGAUAUCUUUCUCAAAAAUGAAAAAAAAUAAUGGCCACACUUAAGAUUUUAUUUUUCUUAUUGUGUGUGCUGGCUGGCGCACACACACUCAUCUCCAGAAACACUUUUCAAUUAUUGCAGCUGCAGCUAGCAGCACUGAAGUUAAUUCUUGCCUGAUGAUAGAAGCAAUGCCAAACAUGUUAAAACGAACACAACAAAUUCAUACCACUUAAUUUGGCUUUGGGGAAAAUGGAGAAAUUUAAUUAAAUUACAAAGUAAUUAUAACCCUUGCAAGUCGGUCUUCUCGAGGAGCAAUUGAUCAGCAAGCGCUUAACUAUACUUUUAGUUUAGAUGGUCAAAUUUUUUAACAGUAAUGUAUGAGAUUUGAGGGUCUAAAUCCGGCCAGUUCAAAGAGUAGCAAAUUUAACAUCCCGCUGCGUUCAGGGGGAAAAAAAGAGAAAAAAAGAAAGAAAGAAGCUAUUUUUGCACGCUGUCGGGAAAAUUAGGUUCCAUAUAUUGUCAUUCAUCAUACACAAAAAAUAGAUUGAUGACAAAUGGUAUUGGUUUGUUUACAUUUAACUAGCUAGUUUUUCACUUUCCUUACAAUAAGUUCAAGCAUAUAAUUCAGUACACAACAAAUUAAGCUCCGGAAAGAGAAGUCAUGACAGAGAAAUAAGUUAUAAGUUAUAUACCAAAUUAACAAGAGUGAAACGACAAGAUGAUAGGAAGAUGAUGGUGGUGAUGGCGGUGACUAUUGGAUUCUCUUUCAAUCCGCCACUGAAGAUGAAGAAAAUCGUCAACACUACAAGGUAACCUCAAAGGACCAUCCGUAUUGUAACCGUAGACCUCUCGAGCUUUCUCCAACAGUUGCCCAAACAGGGGAUGAUAAAGAUGAGAUAUCGGAAUCACAAACUUUCGGGACCCGCCGUCUUCCUCUUCUAAGCCCACCUGAACUGCAAGCCACCCUUUCUUUACCUUCAUCGUCUUCUUGUCUUCUUGCAUCACGUUAUUAUUUAAAACCGAGAAGCGAAGAAAGAAACUAGAGAGACCUUGGAAUUUAUUUCUGUGAGUAGAAAAGAGCUUGGGGUGUUAAUUAUUUAUAUGUGGAGUGGGGGGGGAAGAGAGCGUGACAAUUUUGGCUUUUAAAUUGAGUAAGUAAUUUUGGCACAUCUCUUAGUUAAAGUUAAUAGUUACGUUGACACAGUUCGUACUGUAUACGGAAUCCGUAUCAUAUCUAGGCUCUUUUUGUGCCGUCCUUACAAGGUUACAAGGGAUAAAAUAAAAGAACUAACAAUAUUCGCUCUUGGUUUGUGCUAAAGGUCAAUACGUACGAUCACAAAUUUCUUUGUUAUCGCUUGUUAUAAAUGUUUUGUCACACUUGUAAAUUUGACAAAACUUCAUAGAUGAAACAAAUUACUAGCGUCCACUUAAUUUAUAUUUAUCAAUUAAAAACGCUGAGAAGAAUUUCUCACAUUGCAAAUAGUUCUUGAGCUAAAAAUAUUAGCUUGAGACAUACAACUUAAAAAUUGAGUCUAAAUCUACACAAUGUAUAUAUAUAUAAAGUCGAGACUAUAAGAGGUGAUGUGGCAUCACCAUUUCUCAUUUUUAUAUAUUUUUUAUUAUUUAAUAAAUAGAUAAAUUUUCUUUUAAAUUUGACUUUUUAUCUUCUCAUAAUUAAUUUGAUUCUUAUUACAUAAUAAUAAUUAUGUAAAGAUUUUAAUGAGGCAUAUUCUUUGUAAUGAACAUCCAAGGGAAAGUGUUAUAAAUUUAUUAAAAUAAAUGUGGAUAUUUAUAAUAUAUAUCUUUUAAUCUCCCCACUAUCUCCCAUUAGCAACCUUUAGUUUCCCUAUAACUCCCACGAUCUCACAAUGAAUUAUGAUCCAUAAUUUUUUAUUAAUUUCAUGGAGUGAUUAUGUAAUUAUAAAAGCAGAGUUCAUCUUUUUAUUUUGUACACACACAAUUGGAAUGAAUAAAAUCACUCUAUAAUAUAUUCUCUCAUUUUAUUCUUUAUCUUGCAUUGCUUCUUUAUUUGUGUUGUUGGGUAAUAAUUUUUUUUUUAUUUAAGCCACCCGGUUUCCGACGACCGCAUUGGAUACUUCUACUGCAUUCAACAUUUCUAACUUUUAUUGGUUGAUAUACAUGUGAAUGAUAACACAAUCCUUUGAGGUAUUUUUUUAAUUAUUAAUGUUUGUUAAUCUUUAAGUGUAUAUUAGAAAUUAUUGAUCCUUAUGUUUUAACAUGUUUAUGUUAUUUUUCCAUAAUAUUACAGAUGUUGUUGGAAGUUUAUGUGGUGUGGGUGAUAUUGAAAUAGUUGGAGCUGAUUGGAAAAAAAGAGAUAUAAAAGUUUUAAAAGAUUAGCAAGUUGAAUAUAAUUUGGAACUUAUCAACAACUAUAAAAGGUAUAAGGUUUGUACACUUAACUAUACACAUUAAUAUAUAUAUAUAUAUAUUUAAAGUUAACAAACAAAUAAUUAACUUUCAUAAAUAACAUUAAUUUUAUAAGGUUGCCUCAUCUUAAAAAAAAUUAAUUCAUAUUUUUUUAUUAGUUUCAUCAAGUGCAAAGUAAAAAAAAAUGAUAAUACUAA
Molecule: long non-coding RNA, 9989 nt
Filed under: Citrus x clementina
Lineage: Eukaryota; Viridiplantae; Streptophyta; Magnoliopsida; Sapindales; Rutaceae
Description: Citrus clementina (C. clementina) long non-coding RNA (CCLE_LNC001337)
Source: RNAcentral